RNAcentral lists this unclassified non-coding RNA (163 nucleotides) under uncultured Tuber. Its description in RNAcentral is "sequence contains ITS1". The record is from RNAcentral. Lineage: Eukaryota; Fungi; Ascomycota; Pezizomycetes; Pezizales; Tuberaceae.
UGCAUUCAUGGGAUACUAAUGUGUUCCCUGACACUAACCCUCUCUGCGUAUCAAUCCAUGUUGCUUUCCCAGGUGCUCCCUCACCUGGGAGAGGGCCUAUCCAUAGCAAAUUAUUGAAUCAGCUGUCUGAGUUGGCCCAGUGCCAUAUUCUUUGAAUAGGUAA